Molecule: non-coding RNA, 102 nt
Organism: Acanthosepion pharaonis
Lineage: Eukaryota; Metazoa; Mollusca; Cephalopoda; Sepiida; Sepiidae
Source: the annotation of a GenBank genome assembly
GUUAUAUCACGGUGAAAUACCGGUUCUCGUACGAUCACGGAAGUUAAGCAACGUCAAGCCUGGUCAGUACCGAGAUGAUGACCACUUGGGAAUACUAGGUGC